AAAUUUUCUCAAGACAAGAAAAUUUACUUCUAUCAACCCGGGAAAAACGGAUUGGAUCUGGCCAUAUAUAAACAGAUCUGGCGAGAUCUUUAAAUUGUCUCUAUCUGACGAGAUCUGGCCAGAUAUAAUCAGAUCUGACCAGAUU
Molecule: long non-coding RNA, 145 nt
Organism: Cotesia glomerata
Lineage: Eukaryota; Metazoa; Arthropoda; Insecta; Hymenoptera; Braconidae
Exons: 3
Source: RefSeq, a predicted model, not a curated record